This 537-nucleotide ribosomal RNA is filed under the name Salmonella enterica subsp. enterica serovar Hadar. Its description in RNAcentral is "partial 23S ribosomal RNA". It matches the Rfam family "Bacterial large subunit ribosomal RNA", at positions 1 to 568 of the family's 2925-position model. The record is from RNAcentral. Lineage: Bacteria; Pseudomonadati; Pseudomonadota; Gammaproteobacteria; Enterobacterales; Enterobacteriaceae.
GGGUUGUGAGGUUAAGCGACUAAGCGUACACGGUGGAUGCCCUGGCAGUCAGAGGCGAUGAAGGACGUGCUAAUCUGCGAUAAGCGCCGGUAAGGUGAUAUGAACCGUUAUAACCGGCGAUUUCCGAAUGGGGAAACCCAGUGUGAUUCGUCACACUAUCAUUAACUGAAUCCAUAGGUUAAUGAGGCGAACCGGGGGAACUGAAACAUCUAAGUACCCCGAGGAAAAGAAAUCAACCGAGAUUCCCCCAGUAGCGGCGAGCGAACGGGGAGGAGCCCAGAGCCUGAAUCAGCAUGUGUGUUAGUGGAAGCGUCUGGAAAGGCGCGCGAUACAGGGUGACAGCCCCGUACACAAAAGCGCAUGUGCUGUGAGCUCGAUGAGUAGGGCGGGACACGUGGUAUCCUGUCUGAAUAUGGGGGGACCAUCCUCCAAGGCUAAAUACUCCUGACUGACCGAUAGUGAACCAGUACCGUGAGGGAAAGGCGAAAAGAACCCCGGCGAGGGGAGUGAAAAAGAACCUGAAACCGUGUACGUACA